GUCCACACAGUAAACGAUGAAUACUCGCUGUUUGCGAUAUACGGCAAGCGGCCAAGCGAAAGCAUUAAGUAUUCCACCUGGGGAGUACGCCGGCAACGGUGAAACUCAAAGGAAUUGACGGGGGCCCGCACAAGCGGAGGAACAUGUGGUUUAAUUCGAUGAUACGCGAGGAACCUUACCCGGGCUUAAAUUGCAUUUGAAUAAUUUGGAAACAGAUUAGCCGUAAGGCAAAUGUGAAGGUGCUGCAUGGUUGUCGU
Molecule: ribosomal RNA, 257 nt
Filed under: uncultured bacterium
Lineage: Bacteria
Description: partial 16S ribosomal RNA
Rfam family: Bacterial small subunit ribosomal RNA
Source: RNAcentral